RNAcentral lists this non-coding RNA (45 nucleotides) under Schistosoma mattheei. The record is from RNAcentral. Lineage: Eukaryota; Metazoa; Platyhelminthes; Trematoda; Strigeidida; Schistosomatidae.
AUCUAGCUGAAAAGUUCCAAAUAGGACUAAACAGGCGUCCUGGAU